GCCAGGCAUGGUGGUGAGUGCCUGUAGUCCCAGCUACCUGGGAGGCUGAGGUGGGAGGACUGCUUGAGCCCAGGAGUUCAAGACUGCAGUGAGCCAUGAUCGUGCCACUGCACUCCAGCCUGGGCAACAGAGCAAGACCUCAGCUCAA
This 148-nucleotide signal recognition particle RNA is filed under the name Chlorocebus sabaeus (green monkey). Its description in RNAcentral is "Metazoan signal recognition particle RNA". It matches the Rfam family "Metazoan signal recognition particle RNA". From Rfam's summary of the family: The signal recognition particle (SRP) is a universally conserved ribonucleoprotein. It is involved in the co-translational targeting of proteins to membranes. Lineage: Eukaryota; Metazoa; Chordata; Mammalia; Primates; Cercopithecidae. The record is from Rfam by way of RNAcentral.